Long non-coding RNA from Lutra lutra (Eurasian river otter), 550 nucleotides. RefSeq lists it as uncharacterized. The record is from RefSeq and is a predicted model, not a curated record. Lineage: Eukaryota; Metazoa; Chordata; Mammalia; Carnivora; Mustelidae. The transcript has 2 exons.
CUCACAAGGCUGCAGUCAAGAUGACAUCUGGAUCUUCGGUCAUCUCCAGGCUGGUUGGGGGGAAACAUCUGCUUUUGAGCUCACUCAGGUGGCUGUUCGCGGCCAGGGUCCUCCAUUACUAGGUGAGUCAGUAGUUCCUGACUCUCAUCAAGAGGGAGAGUAUGUUACACAAAACGAUGUGUACCAAAGAUGGCAAUCGUGGGAGACCCUUAAAGGCUGCCCUCUAUACUUUGGUGGGACUUGACCUCAGCUAGCCACCACUAGAAUCUUUGCAUCCUUACUAGGAAGUGAGCUAGGAGAACAUUUGAUCAAGCCCUUCUGGGAUCCUGACAGCAGCUUGCCUAGAAGUUCCUCGCCCAAGGGUGCCUGUGUGGCUCCGUCCGUUCAGCGUCUGACUCUUGAUUUUGGUUCAGGUCGUGAUCCCAUGAUCUUUUGAAAUACUGCCCAACGUCCCAUUCUGCACUUGAGUGGGAAGCCUGUCUACGAAUCUCUCUCUCUCUCUGCCCCUCCCUGCUUGCAUGUGUGUGUGCCUUCUCCCUUUCUCUCUCUC